AAUUGAACGCUGGCGGAAUGCUUUACACAUGCAAGUCGAACGGCAGCGCGGGGCAACCUGGCGGCGAGUGGCGAACGGGUGAGUAAUAUAUCGGAACGUACCCAAGAGUGGGGGAUAACGUAGCGAAAGUUAGCUAAUACCGCAUACGAUCUAUGGAUGAAAGUGGGGGAUCGCAAGACCUCAUGCUCCUGGAGCGGCCGAUAUCUGAUUAGCUAGUUGGUGAGGUAAAGGCUCACCAAGGCUACGAUCAGUAGCUGGUCUGAGAGGACGACCAGCCACACUGGAACUGAGACACGGUCCAGACUCCUACGGGAGGCAGCAGUGGGGAAUUUUGGACAAUGGGCGCAAGCCUGAUCCAGCAAUGCCGCGUGAGUGAAGAAGGCCUUCGGGUUGUAAAGCUCUUUUGUCAGGGAAGAAACGGCUCCAGCUAAUAUCUGGGGCUAAUGACGGUACCUGAAGAAUAAGCACCGGCUAACUACGUGCCAGCAGCCGCGGUAAUACGUAGGGUGCAAGCGUUAAUCGGAAUUACUGGGCGUAAAGCGUGCGCAGGCGGUUUUGUAAGUCUGUCGUGAAAGCCCCGGGCUCAACCUGGGAAUUGCGAUGGAGACUGCAAGGCUUGAAUCUGGCAGAGGGGGGUAGAAUUCCACGUGUAGCAGUGAAAUGCGUAGAGAUGUGGAGGAACACCGAUGGCGAAGGCAGCCCCCUGGGUCAAGAUUGACGCUCAUGCACGAAAGCGUGGGGAGCAAACAGGAUUAGAUACCCUGGUAGUCCACGCCCUAAACGAUGUCUACUAGUUGUCGGGUUUUAAUUAACUUGGUAACGCAGCUAACGCGUGAAGUUGACC
This 844-nucleotide ribosomal RNA is filed under the name uncultured Oxalobacteraceae bacterium. RNAcentral's name for it is "bacterial SSU rRNA". It matches the Rfam family "Bacterial small subunit ribosomal RNA", at positions 26 to 870 of the family's 1533-position model. Lineage: Bacteria; Pseudomonadati; Pseudomonadota; Betaproteobacteria; Burkholderiales; Oxalobacteraceae. The record is from RNAcentral.